GCUGUAGCUCAAUAGUAGAGCACCUGCUCUGCAUGCAGAAGGACCCGGGUUCAAUCUCCAGCAUCUCCU
Molecule: non-coding RNA, 69 nt
Organism: Podarcis lilfordi (Lilford's wall lizard)
Lineage: Eukaryota; Metazoa; Chordata; Lepidosauria; Squamata; Lacertidae
Source: the annotation of a GenBank genome assembly